This 256-nucleotide ribosomal RNA is filed under the name uncultured bacterium. RNAcentral describes it as "partial 16S ribosomal RNA". It matches the Rfam family "Bacterial small subunit ribosomal RNA", at positions 524 to 776 of the family's 1533-position model. The record is from RNAcentral.
UACGUAGGGCGCAAGCGUUUAUCCGGAAUUAUUGGGCGUAAAGAGCGUGUAGGCGGUUUGGUAGGUCCGCUGUGAAAACUCGAGGCUCAACCUCGAGACGCCGGUGGAAACCAUCAGACUAGAGUCCGGAAGAGGAGAGUGGAAUUCCUGGUGUAGCGGUGAAAUGCGCAGAUAUCAGGAAGAACACCCGUGGCUAAGGCGGCUCUCUAGUACGGUACUGGACGCUGAAGACGCGAAAGCGUGGGGAGCGAACAGG